Molecule: ribosomal RNA, 465 nt
Filed under: uncultured Klebsiella sp.
Lineage: Bacteria; Pseudomonadati; Pseudomonadota; Gammaproteobacteria; Enterobacterales; Enterobacteriaceae
Description: bacterial SSU rRNA
Rfam family: Bacterial small subunit ribosomal RNA
Source: RNAcentral
CCUACGGGGGGCUGCAGUGGGGAAUAUUGCACAAUGGGCGCAAGCCUGAUGCAGCCAUGCCGCGUGUGUGAAGAAGGCCUUCGGGUUGUAAAGCACUUUCAGCGGGGAGGAAGGCGGUGAGGUUAAUAACCUCAUCGAUUGACGUUACCCGCAGAAGAAGCACCGGCUAACUCCGUGCCAGCAGCCCCGGUAAUACGGAGGGUGCAAGCGUUAAUCGGAAUUACUGGGCGUAAAGCGCACGCAGGCGGUCUGUCAAGUCGGAUGUGAAAUCCCCGGGCUCAACCUGGGAACUGCAUUCGAAACUGGCAGGCUAGAGUCUUGUAGAGGGGGGUAGAAUUCCAGGUGUAGCGGUGAAAUGCGUAGAGAUCUGGAGGAAUACCGGUGGCGAAGGCGGCCCCCUGGACAAAGACUGACGCUCAGGUGCGAAAGCGUGGGGAGCAAACAGGAUUAGAUACCCGUGUAGUC